RNAcentral lists this long non-coding RNA (210 nucleotides) under Carica papaya (papaya). RNAcentral describes it as "long non-coding RNA (CPAP_LNC008341)". Lineage: Eukaryota; Viridiplantae; Streptophyta; Magnoliopsida; Brassicales; Caricaceae. The record is from RNAcentral.
UCAAAAGGAGGUUAUAAACUGUUAAGAAUGUAAGUCUUUUCUUAAGUUUUGAAGUUUAGUCUUUUUUAUUUUUUGGAUUAGUUUUUGAGUAUUGUGUUGGAUAUUUUUAAGUUAAGAAAGUGAUCAAAAUCAUCCCAAAAUCGUGCCGGAUGUUUGAGAGAAAAAGGUCAUUAAUAAAGCCGAAACUCUACUAGAAUUAAGAUUAAGACU